GAGGAAUAUUGGUCAAUGGGCGAGAGCCUGAACCAGCCAAGUAGCGUGCAGGAAGACGGCCCUAUGGGUUGUAAACUGCUUUUAUGUGGGGAUAAAGUGAGCUACGUGUAGUUUAUUGCAGGUACCACAUGAAUAAGGACCGGCUAAUUCCGUGCCAGCAGCCGCGGUAAUACGGAAGGUCCAGGCGUUAUCCGGAUUUAUUGGGUUUAAAGGGAGCGUAGGCCGUGGAUUAAGCGUGUUGUGAAAUGUAGACGCUCAACGUCUGAAUUGCAGCGCGAACUGGUUCACUUGAGUAUGCACAACGUAGGCGGAAUUCGUCGUGUAGCGGUGAAAUGCUUAGAUAUGACGAAGAACUCCGAUUGCGAAGGCAGCUUACGGGAGCACAACUGACGCUGAAGCUCGAAGGUGCGGGUAUCAAACAGGAUUAGAUACCCUGGUAGUCCGCACAGUAAACGAUGGAUGCCCGUUGUUAGCUCACUUAAGAAUUAGCGACCAAGCGAAAGCAUUAAGCAUCCCACCUGGGGAGUACGCCGGCAACGGUG
RNAcentral lists this ribosomal RNA (542 nucleotides) under uncultured bacterium. RNAcentral describes it as "bacterial SSU rRNA". It matches the Rfam family "Bacterial small subunit ribosomal RNA", at positions 356 to 896 of the family's 1533-position model. The record is from RNAcentral.